RNAcentral lists this unclassified non-coding RNA (313 nucleotides) under fungal sp. RNAcentral describes it as "partial internal transcribed spacer region". The stretch from base 1 to 46 matches the Rfam family "Eukaryotic small subunit ribosomal RNA", at positions 1786 to 1831 of the family's 1831-position model. The record is from RNAcentral. Lineage: Eukaryota; Fungi.
AAGUCGUAACAAGGUUUCCGUAGGUGAACCUGCGGAAGGAUCAUUAACACGUUUUACGUUCCAAAACGUUUUGACCCAUUUUCAUUUUCUGUGCACCCCCCCUUGAAACCCGGCUUCCCCGAGCCGUCCUCUGGGUUUACUCAGUGUGACCUGUUCGGGCGUCUUCUCUUCCUUUCGGGGAAAAGGAAGGCGUUGCCACAACCCCAAACCCUUUAACCUGUAUGUCUGAACUUUUGAAGUUGGGAAGAUUCACUUUUUUCCAACGACUUUUAAAAACAAAUAACAACUCUUAACAACGGAUAUCUUGGUUCUC